Molecule: small nuclear RNA, 186 nt
Organism: Centropristis striata (black sea bass)
Lineage: Eukaryota; Metazoa; Chordata; Actinopteri; Perciformes; Serranidae
Product: U2 spliceosomal RNA
Exons: 1
Source: RefSeq, a predicted model, not a curated record
AGCGCCGCUCUCGGCCUUUUGGCUAAGAUCAGGUGUAGUAUCUGUUCUUAUGAGUUUAAUAAAAAUAAAUAAAUAAAUAAAUGAAUGAAUACAUUCAGCGCCGCAAUUUCAAAAUCAGUUCAUGACAUGGAUGUGUCUUCAGCACUCUGACACAAAUUGAAGAAGAUGCUUUAAGGUUGAAUCUCC